Molecule: long non-coding RNA, 6496 nt
Filed under: Solanum tuberosum (potato)
Lineage: Eukaryota; Viridiplantae; Streptophyta; Magnoliopsida; Solanales; Solanaceae
Description: long non-coding RNA (STUB_LNC004366)
Source: RNAcentral
AAGAAUUACUUCAAUAUUCUCAACAUGUUAGAAAGUUGGGCCAUACAAUAUUUGAGUUACUAGCAGAGGCACUUGGGCUUAAGCCCAAUCACUUAUUGGACAUGGACUGUGCAAAAGGCCAAUUCAUAAUUAGUCAUUACUAUCCACCUUGUCCUGAGCCCAAUAAGACUCUUGGAAUCACUAAACAUACUGACCCAAAUUUCUUCACAAUUCUUCUACAAGAUCAAAUUGGUGGCCUUCAAAUUAAUCACCAAAAUCAAUGGAUUGAUAUUCAUCCUGUGACUGGAGCUCUAGUUAUCAAUCUUGGUGACCUUUUGCAGGUAAGUAUAUCUAGUCGGACAGAUUUACUGUUUACUUUUUUAAGUUGGUAUACAUAGAUCUUCAUACAUAUUAUACAUGAAUUAUACAUUCACUGACUUUUUUACAGGUAGUAUAUCUAAAACAAAUUACAUAUGUCUAGUCACUAGUGACAUGGACUGUAGAGUGUUGGUAGUGAGCUCGAUUUGACGUAUUAUUUCUAGCACACGCUAUAAGUAUAUAUGCGAUAAAUCGUGAAUAAUAGUAUAUACUAUAAGGAUAUUUCGUGUAUGGCUUAAUGGUAUAAGAAAUCUAUAUUGAACAAUAUAUAUAACUUAAACUCAUUUUGCAGCUUCUAUCGAAUGACAAGUUCAAAAGUGCUGAGCAUAGAGUAUUGGCAAAACAUAUUGGGCCAAGGAUUUCAAUUGCAUGUUUUUUCACAACUCAACUUUUGCCAUUUGAUACACUUUAUGGCCCAAUAAAGGAAUUGUUGUCUGAUGAAAAUCAUGCUUUGUACAAAGAAACAACAAUAAAAGAUUAUGUGUUAUAUUACAACUCCAAAGGACUUGGUGCUCUUCCUUCACUCCUACAUUUAAAGCUCUAGGAUGGAAAAGUGUAUAUUAUUUCACUUGCAAGGCUACCAUGUGUAAUUCGAGUUUUUAGGGUUCGUUUGGACAUGAUUUGUAAUAGAAUACGAUUUGAGAUAUGACGAGCUUUAAUUAAGUUAUCUUGUAAGUUUUUAAGAUAUCGUAUUUAAUAAAAUUUUAUGUCCUUGAAGGACAAGACUGCAUGUAGUACACCAUGAUUUGAAAUGAAUGUUGAAAUUGCUAAAUUGGAUAAGUCUUGAACUUUGCUAAAAUAUUUAUGAUUCUUAUAUGACUCCUUAACUAUUUGUGAACCCGCAGCACCAGGCUCACAGAAAUUUCAUAUGUUUACGGGCUAAUUACAUUCUAUUUUGAAAGUUUCUUCAAUUACACAAAUUCUGGAUUUUUCAUCACUAUAUGAUGGAUACAUUCACUGAUUGUCCGAUACAAUGCAAAUGAUACAUUACUUAAUGGGAGGAUGUAUUCGAGAGUGGAUAUGGAUGUAUCAGAGAGGGGAUUUUUGUAAAAAAAAAAUUAUAGAGGAUUUUAGAGAUUAUGAUAUCUGAAGUUGUGUAUUUAUGUAAUUUUUCCCAUAUUUAAAUGUUUCUUAUAAAAUGUUGAUUAUAAAAUUCAAGACAUGUUUUCGAUGAUUAUAUUGUAACUCUUUUCUUUUGAUUUUACACGAGACAAAUUGAGAUAAACUUCUAUUUUGAAUAGAUAAAAGGGAAUUGUUCAGAUAAUAUACACCUCUCAUUUUUAAUCUUAAGGUUAUGAAUUCGAGUCAUCAAAAAGUGAAACCCGAGUAAAAAUAUUUAAACAAAGAUUAUAUUUUAAUAUAUAAUAUAAUAUAUAAAGUUUUGAUCUAAUCAAACAAUUCACAUUUAAUCUCAAAAUUAUUAUUCUUUGUCCCACUAAUCAAAAGACCCCUUAAUUAAAUACUACUCUAUACCGGAUUACAAAGUAGAUGCUUCAUUUUUAAGUCAAUAUGACUAAAUAAAUUAGUCAUAUAUUUGUCUUUUAUGUCAUCCCUUAUAUUAUACUCCAAUUUUAAAUUAACAAAAAUAAAGUUAGAGAUAUGGUUACGUGAGCGUAAACUAAAAAUAUAAUUACGUGAAUAUAAUAUUCUUUGUCUCAAAAAUUGUCAUAUUUUGUUUUUUUGGAAGGGUCAAACAAAAUAAAUUUUGAUCGAUAUUUUCAAAUAUAUUUUUUCAGUAAAUUGACAUGAAAAAAAAAAUUAUAACAAAAAGUAUUUUCGUUUAAAUUUGAAUAUAUAAAUUCUUAUAUCAAAUAUUAAAUUAAUUUUAUUUCAAAAAAGUAUUGAUUUUCGAAAAGCAAAAUACGACAACUAAUUUAAUUCGAGCUACAAUAAUUUUAUGAGAAUUACAAUAUGGGGAAUCGAACCUUUACAAACAACUAAAAUUGAAUCAAUUACGUGUGGAAAUAAAUAAGACAUUUGCUUUGUCCAUUUUGUCAUCCCUUAUCUCCUAACCUAUAUAGAUCUACAAAAUAAUCAAAAGCUAAACAUAUUCUAAAACUCUCUUCUUACCAAAAAAUAAAAAUAAAAAAUGGCAAACUAUGAUCGAGCAAAAGAUCUCAAAGCCUUCGAUGACACAAAGGCCGGUGUAAAAGGACUAGUCGAUUCCGGGAUAGUUCAUAUUCCCGAGAUCUUUGUUACAUCGGCCUUAACAGAAAAUGAGUUAAGUGCUAAGAAUCUUGAUUCAGACUCAAACGUAGUCAACGUUCAAAUCCCAGUUAUAGAUCUAAAGGGUAUGAAUGGAGACGAUUUUCGACGUAGAAGAAUUGUUGAAGAGGUUGGUGAGGCAUGUAAGACUUGGGGAUUUUUUCAAGUUCUGAACCAUGGUGUGCCACAACAUGUUAUGGAUGAGAUGAUUAGUGGAGUUAAAAGUUUUAAUGAGCAAUCAAAUGAGAAAAAGAUGGAGUUUUAUUCAAGGGAUAAUUUGAAGAAAGUGAAAUUUAAUAGUAAUUUUGAUCUUUAUUCAUCUAAAGCUGCAAAUUGGAGGGAUAGUUUAACUUGUGUUAUGGCUCCUAAUCCUCCUACUAAAGAUGAAUUACCAGAAGCAUGCAGGUAAUUUUCAGCUAAAACCCUCUUUGAUGAUAUUAUGUUGGUUGUUCUAAAAGAGGAAUAUAAUUUUACUUAUCUGUCUCAAUUUGCGUGAUAUUAUUUGAUUUUCAAAAUCUAAACAACGUGAACUUUAAUUGAUAUAUUAUGAUGGCGGAAAGAAGCUAGCAAAUAAAAAAGUCUUUCCCUCCUUGAUUAUGUGUUUUCACAUUGAUAUGAGCAUUGAUAUGAGCAAACUUAUAAUUUUAUCAUAUAAUUUAAAUAUAUAUAUAUAUUUAUUUUUUUAUUUUUUUAUUUUAUUUAUUUUAUUUAUUUUAUUUUUUUAUUUUUUAUUUUAUUUUUUAUUUUCAAAAAUAUUUAUUUAAUUUUGAAGAUUGAAUAAAUUAAUUCUCGAUAAUCAAAAGAUGUAUUCAAAUUGAAAUGGGAAGUCUAAACUCUAUACGGUGCCACUUAGGUUUCCUUUUUUAAUUAAUUAAUUAGUGGAGAAAGACAAAGUGGUUCUUUUUUUUCUCCUUUUGUGGCUUACGGCUUACCUCUUAUUAAAAUGAUUAAAUAAAUAAUUGGUUGUUAUCUGCCUCAAAUUAAUAUUGAUAACGGGCCACUAAUUCAUCAUGAUAAAAAGGAGCUAUCUACUUUAUUAAUGGUCAUAUAUAUAUAUAUAUAUAUAUACACGACCCCUUGUCAGCACGUGCUUAAUAAAUAUAAUUGGAAAAACUACAUAAAUGAGUCAUAAAAUUCAAAAUAAUUACCAGACGUUCAUACCCAAAUUCAAAGUAAUUUCUGAAAUACUCAUUCUCUCAGAAAAUAAUUACAGCUCAUAUUCUCAUUCAUUAAGACUGAUAACUUUCGAUAACUAAUACUAAAUCAAUAUCAUAUAAUGUAUUGGUAUCAUUAAGGCUGAUGAUUUCGCUUAACUGAUACUAAAUCAGUAUAUAUAUAAUGUAUUGGUAUCAUUAAGAUUUCUUGUUCAGAAAUUACUCAUUAGUCAAUGAUACUAUAAGAAUAUAUGUAUAUUGUUGUGAUAUCAUUAAGAUUUCUUGUUCAGAAAUUACUCAUUAGUCAAUGAUACUAUAAGAAUAUAUGUAUAUUGUUGUGAUAUCAUUAAGAUUUCUUGUUCAGAAAUUACUCAUUAGUCAAUGAUACUAUAAGAAUAUAUGUAUAUUGUUGUGAUAUCAUUAAGAUUUCUUGUUCAGAAAUUACUCAUUAGUCAAUGAUACUAUAAGAAUAUAUGUAUAUUGUUGUGAUAUCAUUAAGAUUUCUUGUUCAGAAAUUACUCAUUAGUCAAUGAUACUAUAAGAAUAUAUGUAUAUUGUUGUGAUAUCAUUAAGAUUUCUUGUUCAGAAAUUACUCAUUAGUCAAUGAUACUAUAAGAAUAUAUGUAUAUUGUUGUGAUAUCAUUAAGAUUUCUUGUUCAGAAAUUACUCAUUAGUCAAUGAUACUAUAAGAUUAUAUAUAUACUCUUAUAGUAUCAUUGACUAAUGAGUAAUUUCUGAACAAGAAAUCUUAAUGAUAUCACAACAAUAUACAUAUAUUCUUAUAGUAUCAUUGACUAAUGAGUAAUUUCUGAACAAGAAAUCUUAAUGAUAUCACAACAAUAUACAUAUAUUCUUAUAGUAUCAUUGACUAAUGAGUAAUUUCUGAACAAGAAAUCUUAAUGAUAUCACAACAAUAUACAUAUAUUCUUAUAGUAUCAUUGACUAAUGAGUAAUUUCUGAACAAGAAAUCUUAAUGAUAUCACAACAAUAUACAUAUAUUCUUAUAGUAUCAUUGACUAAUGAGUAAUUUCUGAACAAGAAACCUUAAUGAUACCAAUACAGUAUAUAUAUUGAUUUAGUAUCAAUUAAGAGAAAUUAUCAAUAUAAUGAUAUCAAUACAAUAUAUGAUAUUGAUUUAGUAUCAGUUAAGCGAAAACACCGGUCUUAAUGAUACCAAUACAAUAUAUGAUACUGAUUUAGCAUCAGUUAAGUGAAACUAGUUGGGGGUAUAUAGUGUAAUUAUUUAGUAGGGGUAUGAAUGUAAAGGGGUAUAUGUUUGUAAUUAUUUUGCUUUUAUGGGGUAUUUGCUUAGUUUCCCUUUUUUUUUUUAUCCUAAUUAGUGUGAUACAGUGGAACUUGAGAAGUUAUUUAAAUUUUAAUAUGCUUUUUAAAAAUAUUUUAAGUUAUUAAUUAUUAUUUUUUAUAUAACUUUGAAAUAAUAUAUAUUAUUUCGCUGUCCCAAUUUAUGCGGUACGGCUAGAAUUUCACAAACUAAUCAUUUAUAUGUAUUUUAAAUAUUUCAAGUUGUUAAUUAUUGUAAUUUGUAGUAUCUUUUACGUAAUUUUUGAAUAAUAUAUGUUACUUUUUAUGUCCCAAUUUAUGUGACAUUGAUAUAUUUUAGAGAGUCGGCCAAAUUUUUUAUGUCUUUUGAAAUUCUUAAGUUGUUAAUUAUUUUAAUUUAUAAUACUUUUUACGUCAUUUUCAAAUAAUAUAUGUUAUUUGCUAUUAGUCUAUUACCCAUUUUAUGUGUCACCGAUAGAAUUUUGAAAGUCAAUUAAUUUUUUUAUAUGACUUUUAAAUAUUUUAACUUGUUAAUUAUUGUGAUUUAAAGUAUUAUUAUCAUAUUUUUCAAAUAUAUAAGAAUAAAUUAUCAAAUUAUCCUUGUCUAGAUAUAUAAGCCCGGGCCAACAAUUAUAUGUCUCAAUUUACAUGAUACAAAUGAACUUUUAAAUAAUAUAUGUAGAAUUUUAAGUGUUGAUCAGAUUUUUUAUAUUAUUUUUAAAUAUUAGUAAUGCAAAUAUUUAAAACAUAGUAUCAAUUAAAUUUUAGUCUUAGUAAUGAAAUGUGAAAUAUUUUAAAUUUUAUUAGUUAAUUAUAUUUUACAUGAAAAUAAUAUGUUUUUUCUUCAAACGCAACAACAAAGAAAGCCCAAAAUAAGUGAGUAUAAUAUUACUAAACAUUACAUCUGAUAGAACGUGUAGAUCCGAGUAAGUCCUAACAUCACCAAUAUGCCUUUUUAGGCAUUGCAAAAGGGCUCACAUUUCAGUAUAUUUACUAAUGCAAAUUACCCCGGUCUAAGAAGCAGACAUGUUGACGAACAACUGCUUCCUAGACUCUUCUCUCUCUAUAUAUAUAUAUAAAGAAAGGUGAGGUUGGAAAUUUAAUUUUCUGCUAAGUUCGUUUUAAAAGAAUGUCUUUUAUCUUUUUUUGUAACAAUUCUUUAAUUCUAACUAUAUAUUAUUAUUAUUUUGUUCUUUUGUUAGGGAGGAACUACUUCAAUAUUCUGAGCAUGUAAGAAAGUUGGGCCAUACAAUAUUUGAGCUACUAGCAGAGGCACUUGGGCUUAAGCCCAAUCACUUAUUGGACAUGGACUGUGCAAAAGGCCAAUUCAUAAUUAGUCAUUACUAUCCACCUUGUCCUGAGCCCAAUAAGACUCUUGGAAUCACUAAACAUACUGACCCAGAUUUCUUCACAAUUCUCCUACAAGAUCAAAUUGGUGGCCUUCAAAUUAAUCACCAAAAUCAAUGGAUUGAUAUACAUCCUGUUACUGGAGCCCUAGU